GAUGAACGCUGGCGGCGUGCCUAAUACAUGCAAGUCGAGCGAACGGACGAGAAGCUUGCUUCUCUGAUGUUAGCGGCGGACGGGUGAUUAACACGUGGAUACCCUACCUAUAAGACUGGGAUAACUUCGGGAAACCGGAGCUAAUACCGGAUAAUAUUUUGAACCUCAUGGUUCAACAGUGAAAGACGGUCUUGCUGUCACUUAUAGAUGGAUCCGCGCUGCAUUAGCUAGUUGGUAAGGUAACGGCUUACCAAGGCAACGAUGCGUAGCCGACCUGAGAGGGUGAUCAGCCACACUGGAACUGAGACACGGUCCAGACUCCUACGGGAGGCAGCAGUAGGGAAUCUUCCGCAAUGGGCGAAAGCCUGAUGGAGCAACGCCGCGUGAGUGAUGAAGGUCUUCGGAUCGUAAAACUCUGUUAUUAGGGAAGAACAGAUGUGUAAGUAACUGUGCACAUCUUGACGUUACCUACUCAGAAAGCCACGGCUAACUACGUG
This 497-nucleotide ribosomal RNA is filed under the name uncultured bacterium. Its description in RNAcentral is "partial 16S ribosomal RNA". It matches the Rfam family "Bacterial small subunit ribosomal RNA", at positions 28 to 507 of the family's 1533-position model. The record is from RNAcentral.